RNAcentral lists this ribosomal RNA (723 nucleotides) under uncultured bacterium. RNAcentral's name for it is "bacterial SSU rRNA". It matches the Rfam family "Bacterial small subunit ribosomal RNA", at positions 340 to 1076 of the family's 1533-position model. The record is from RNAcentral.
UACGGGAGGCAGCAGUGGGGAAUAUUGCACAAUGGGCGCAAGCCUGAUGCAGCAACGCCGCGUGUGGGAUGACGGCCUUCGGGUUGUAAACCACUUUCAGCGCCGACGAAGCGAAAGUGACGGUAGGCGCAGAAGAAGCACCGGCCAACUACGUGCCAGCAGCCGCGGUGAUACGUAGGGUGCGAGCGUUGUCCGGAAUUAUUGGGCGUAAAGGGCUCGUAGGCGGUCCGUCGCGUCGGAAGUGAAAACUCGGGGCUUAACCCCGAGCCUGCUUCCGAUACGGGCGGACUAGAGGAAUGCAGGGGAGAAUGGAAUUCCUGGUGGAGCGGUGGAAUGCGCAGAUAUCAGGAGGAACACCAGUGGCGAAGGCGGUUCUCUGGGCAUUUCCUGACGCUGAGGAGCGAAAGCGUGGGGAGCAAACAGGCUUAGAUACCCUGGUAGUCCACGCCGUAAACGGUGGGCACUAGGUGUGGGACUCAUUCCACGAGUUCCGUGCCGAAGCUAACGCAUUAAGUGCCCCGCCUGGGGAGUACGGCCGCAAGGCUAAAACUCAAAGGAAUUGACGGGGGCCCGCACAAGCGGCGGAGCAUGCGGAUUAAUUCGAUGCAACGCGAAGAACCUUACCUGGGUUUGACAUAUACCGGAAAGCUGCAGAGAUGUAGCCCCCGCAAGGUCGGUAUACAGGUGGUGCAUGGCUGUCGUCAGCUCGUGUCGUGAGAUGUU